CGGGAGGUUUAUGUCCACCUGGAGGUUACUGUCCUCUGGCUUCAUCCUCUCCCUUCCCCUGUCCGUCUGGCACUUUCAGCAACAGUUCUGGCCUCAGCAGCCCUGAGGAGUGUGUUAGCUGUCCGCCUGGAUUUUAUUGCUUAGGUUCCAACAAUAGCUCACCUUCUGGACCUUGUUUUCCUGGUUUCUACUGUACUGGGGGUUCUUCCUCACCGGUUCAGAAUGAAGUACAGGAAGGUUUUUAUUCCUUGGAGGGAGCAGCAAGGCCAGAGCCCUGUCCUCUAGGCACUUUUCAGCCUGGCCGAGGUGCAGGUUCAUGUAUGGUGUGUCAGGGAGGAAGGCUGUGCAAUCGAACGGGCCUGUGGCAGCCACCAUUCUGCCCUACAGGACACUACUGUCCGUCUGGUUCCUCUGCUCCAAGGCCCUGCCCUUUAGUCUGUAUCUCCAUGUUUUAGUUUGCUGUUCUUCUUGUCUGUAAUGUCCCUGCCUUACUGCCUUACUUCAGUUUAGCUACAGAAAUAUCAUUUUCUACAAGUCAGCCAUUGACCUAAUAAUUAGAAAUGCUUUUGUGUGAAUGAGUGGGGAUGGGAACCCUUAAUGUCCAAACCAAUAGGCUUGAUAGGCUUAGAGCCCUAACAAAUCUGAUCUUCUUACACUUCCAAUACCUCUGUAAUGCUGUUAUAUCUAAGGAAAGGAGUAGUUUAUUGCUCUAUCUAAUGCAGUUAUGUGAUGUAAAGUUUGUCAUUGUCAUGCUCUGUGCAAUAACCUGAAGCCAAAUCUUUAUUUUACUUAGAUUUCUAGAAGCAAAAAUUUGUUUUGAAUGUGGGUGCAUGUCUGGUAUCAAUAUUACUGAUUUUACUGUGCUUUUUCAUUGUAAAUGCAGUUCAUGCAGAUGAUAGUGAAUAAUCGGAUUUUUCAGGGCACUUAUUCUGACCAGCUAAGUGGUGGGGAUGCAAAGCACUGUCGACCAUGUGAGGCAGGUUCAUUCUGUGGCAGAGCUGGCCUCUCCAAGCCUCAAGGUCUCUGUGAUCCGGGUCACUACUGCACAUCAGGAGCCACCACAAGCUCUCCUGUAUGUUUUAACAAAAAUCUGCAAAAAGAUUUUAACACAUGCUUUUAAAUCACAUCAUAUGGAUUGUCUUGGAAAAGUAUUCACCCCCCUUGAAUUUGUAGAUGUCACGUAAUUAGUAACUGGAGUCCAGGUGUGUUUAAUUUAAUUUUAGUGUAAAUCAAGCUGUGGCAACAUCAUGUUGUGGGGACACUUUUCUUCAGCAGGCACUAGGACAGUGGUCAGAGUUGGUGGGAAGAUGGAUAGGACUAAAUACAGGUCAAUACAGGAGAGAACCUGUUAAAGGCCUCUAAAGACUUGGGAUUGUGUUCACAUUCCAGGGCCCCAUUUCAGAAAAAGGCAUUAGUGAAAACUCAGAGUAAGUUCUGGGGUAUGUAUGUGCACACCCUGGGUUUUCGGUUUUAAAAAGCCAGCUAGCUGUUACCCCUGUGUCAAGUUAUGUGAACCAACCCUGUUCGGUAACGGGGUUUAUUGAAAUAACCCUUUAUUUGGUCUGCUUGUUAGCUGAGAUCUGGCACAAGGAAAGUGUCAGAAAUGAUGUGAUCUUUCCUGGAGGAGCCUGAAGACGCUGGAGUGCAAAUACUCCCCAGAAAUCUCCGCCAGUAGAGGUUGAUCACUGAUCAGACUGCGAAUAGGUGUCUUUUCCGGAUUAAUAUAUUUUCGAAGGAUACCGUCAAAAUACAGUCACAUAUUUAUCAUAAUAAAUUCUCAUAAUAUUUUAUUUUAAGCAAGAGGCGCCAGCACUCCCAAAGCCGUCCCCUAGUCCUCUAGUCACAGACACAGAAUUCCACAGAAUUGCAGGUAUCAGUGAAAUCAAUAACUCAGUCUGUAUUUAUAUAUAUUUGUUAUAAUAAUUUCUGAUUGACCAAUCUUUUCCCGAACUAAAGACAGAAGUGAAAAUACAGUAGUUUUUAAUACUUUGAAAAUAAAAAAUAAUCCACAUUCAACUGAUGCUCCAACAGUUGGAUUUCUUGUUGUGUUUUCUGCAGCUGUAUGUUUAGGUCUUAGGGACAGAAAAAUAUCUCAAUUUCAGUUGCAUGUCUACACUUUUUCAUAUUAAGUCAUGAGCCAACCUUUAACUUCUUACACAUCAUUAAUUGCAUAUGCUGCGUAUAGCUAGUGAAUGAUGUGGAAUUCAUUUGGUAAAGGUUAAACAUAACAAUAGCUCAUAA
This is a long non-coding RNA of Girardinichthys multiradiatus, 2241 nucleotides long. RefSeq lists it as uncharacterized. The record is from RefSeq and is a predicted model, not a curated record. NCBI's taxonomy places the organism in Eukaryota, Metazoa, Chordata, Actinopteri, Cyprinodontiformes, Goodeidae. The transcript has 3 exons.